This 506-nucleotide ribosomal RNA is filed under the name uncultured bacterium. Its description in RNAcentral is "partial 16S ribosomal RNA". It matches the Rfam family "Bacterial small subunit ribosomal RNA", at positions 29 to 523 of the family's 1533-position model. The record is from RNAcentral.
AGUGAACGCUGGCGGUAGGCCUAACACAUGCAAGUCGAACGGCAGCACAGAGGAGCUUGCUCCUUGGGUGGCGAGUGGCGGACGGGUGAGGGAUACAUCGGAAUCUACUCUGUCGUGGGGGAUAACGUAGGGAAACUUACGCUAAUACCGCAUACGACCUACGGGUGAAAGCAGGGGAUCUUCGGACCUUGCGCGAUUGAAUGAGCCGAUGUUGGAUUAGCUAGUUGGCGGGGUAAAGGCCCACCAAGGCGACGAUCCGUAGCUGGGCUGAGAGGAUGAUCAGCCACACUGGAACUGAGACACGGUCCAGACUCCUACGGGAGGCAGCAGUGGGGAAUAUUGGACAAUGGGCGCAAGCCUGAUCCAGCCAUACCGCGUAGGUGAAGAAGGCCUUCGGGUUGUAAAGCCCUUUUGUUGGGAAAGAAAUCCAUCUGGUUAAUACCCGGGUGGGAUGACGGUACCCAAAGAAUAAGCACCGGCUAACUUCGUGCCAGCCGCCGCCGUAA